AAGCAGAGAGAGAAAAACAUUAUCUCUUUCUAUCUUUCUCCGCCUCUCUUUCUCCUUCUCCCUCAUCUUUUCUCUCCUUAUUCGAACUCUGGAAAAUCCCCUGAACCUAUCAAAAAUAAACCCUAAAACCUGCGAUAAAUCAAUAACCAUAUCUCACAUCUGCAAACCCAUUUUUCAGAAAUCAAAACCAUCUUUCAGUGACCUGAUUUCGCGAACCCAGUAGAUUCAAGUAGAAACCCUAGAAAGUUGAGGACAAGAAUCAUGUAAAUUCGAAUGAAAUUUUGCUAAAUAAACCCUAAUUUAAUUUUUGGAGACAGAUUUACGAUUUUCUUUUGCCUUAACUUUUUUUUUUUUGAAUGCAGUGACCUUAGUUUCCGUGAUCGAUUUUCUCGUUGGUUCUUGUGAUUUAUUUAUCCUUAAUCUCCCUCUUCGGUACUCUUUCUAUUUGUUUUUCUUGGUCACAUGGUUAGUUGCACCUUUUGUUUCUCUAAUUUGGGUUUUCUUUCACUUUUUUUUAUGAGCAAAUUUUAUUUUGCUCGAUAGGAUUUUGUUUACAGAUUUUUUCUUGUCUAUUGUGUAUUAUCUUUAUAUAGAUUUCCUUACUUUUUUCCUUUUAUGGAUAACUAAUUUUGGAUUUGGCGGUGAUGCAUGUAGAAAUUGGUAGAGCUUUAUGGGUUUGUCAUGGUGGAUGGAAAUUUUGUUGUAGAGAUUGACUUCAAAUGUUGGUGGUUGAUGGUAUUUUUCUUGUAAUUGUUGUUGGUGGUAGUUUGAUGGUGAAGCUGGUGGUUCUGUAGCUGUUGGUGUUAUGGGUGGCUGUAAGUGUUUCUCAUGGUAGCUUUGGUGAUAGUGACUGCUGGACUUUCUCUUGUUGGUGGUGAACCAUUGCUCUACUGGAGAAACACAUGUAAAUUCUUUUAAAAAUGAUGGAAUCAGAAAGUCUUCUACCAAAGGUGGAGUUCAGAAAGCUCGAGGCUGUAACGUCGAGAAUCGAAAAAUGAUUAGACAAACAACACUUUUGUGUUGCUACUGCUGUUGGGGUAAUUUGUAUAAUCAUUAAUUAGAAGGGUAUUUUGAUGUUUAAUAAGAUCUCUGGUAUAUAAAAGGGAAAUUUGAUGUUCGAUAAAAGGUUUUUGAUCCUUAAUUAGUCUUUGAUCAGACUUUGUAAAGUAUUUCUACAGUAUAUUGCAGGAGUUGCAAUAGCUAGUCUUAUUGGAGUCUCAUUUCUGGUCCCGACAAGGCAGAUGUAAUUUUUUGUUUCGAAUGUCAACUUAAAAAAAAGCACAGAUAGUCAGUUGUUGCUAAUUUAUUGUUUUCCUUGUGUUCACGGGAAAGUAUGGUUGAGGUCGGUGAGGAUCUGUUAUGUGAAAGACUGAUGUGAAUGAUAACUACAUAAGAAGUGGGAUGACACGUUCCAGAAGGCUCACAAUUCGAUGCUCAUCUCUAUGAUUCCACGCUGAAACGUACUUCACCGAUGGAGGCUAUUAGUGCAAGGCAGUUCAUCCCAUCGCACUCGGGAAGCUCAUGAGCAUUGCUCAAAUGAUGAAAUCAGAAUUUGCUGACAAGGAUUACUCACUUCCUGGCAUUAGAGGAGUUGGGACCGGCUUGGAUGCUGCUGAAUUCAUUCUUAUUGGAGCAAAUAUAGUUCUGGAUGGUGUUUCACUAAAUGGGGAAGGGACUAUGGUGCCAAAGCUGAAUGUAAUACAUGAAUGAAAAGGUACAGUUCACGGGUCUUUAGCUUAUGCUGGAAAAGUUAAGAGGAUCAACGUUGGUCAAAUUCUCUGUAUUGCUCUUUUAUUUAUUUUGUUUCUCUGAUAUAGCUUUUCGGUGGAAACUUUUCCUUACAUUUACAUCGCUUUACUAGUGAAACACCUCGAUAUGGAAAGGGAAGCGAGACACCAAUGCAUCCUUCACGAACUCCACUGCAUCAAGCAACACCGAUACACAAUGGUAUGCGAGCACAUACACGAAAAUGCUUAUGCUCCCAUGAGUCUUGCAAGGGUAUAUCUUUAAUCAGAUUGUUCUUUUAAGGCCUUUUAAUUGGUUAAGUAGUUUAGUUUGCAAUAUGAUGAUUGUGUAUAUCUAAUGCCUAGUACAAUUGUUAUUGCCCGUGUAAAUUUAAGCUUGUUUUUUAGGGGUUAGUAGAUAGAGACUGAUGCUGACACUACGUAAUUGUGUGUUUUAGAAUACUAAUAUCUUCAAAUUUGAAUAUCUGUGAUCCAAGUUAGUUAUAGUAACAUUAACUCAUGAUUAACACAUUUCUAUGAUGGUUGUUUCAAGUUGUUGCUAUAUCACCUUAGCUCAUAAGCUUCAACUGGCUGUUAUCUUUAUUGAUGACAUUGAUAGAUUUUUGGGGUAUCAUCGUGCAACGAACUGCGAAGCUUUGACAAACAUGAAAAAAGAGUUUCAUGGCUUGCGACUCUACAAGUUACAGGUAUUUCUAGAUAUUGUGGAACUGUGAAUCUUCUUAUGUCCUCAAAAGUGUUUUGCGUUGUGACGGGACUGGUAAAAUUCUCAUGAAAUGAUCUCUCUGGUAUGCCUGACCUGAACUUAGGCCUGAAGAUAAAACUGGACUUGAAAAUGAAUCGUAGCUUAAUUUCUUUCCUACCAAAAGGUCCUCCUGAGGGUCAUCAUCUCUUGCAAGCAGUUAAAUGCAUUUUCCUUGGGUUAUGUUUUUGCAACUAUUCAAUCUUUUAUAGCCUUUAAUCUGAUGCAUGCGAAUUAUUGCUUAUGGUUGCUGCCGCAUUAUUGUUACUGUGUACCUCAUCAUGCCUAUGGUUUUCACUGCCUAUAUAUAUGGUUUAUUUGUUCAUCUCCAUACUGAUGUUAGGAAUGAAGUCACUAUGUAAAUGUUGUUGUUGCUGUUGUCUUGAUGAUGGGUAUAUUAGACCACCUCUGUGUAUAUUGUGUGUGAAGUCAUGUAAACCUAGCAUAUAAGGUCUGACUUACUCUUCUUCUGAAUGUAGUUUGAUACCUUCAUGGAUGCCGGCACUCUGUUCCCGAUGGUGGUAAGAUCGUUGCUCCUGCUGGAUGUAGAAAUGGUUGAAAGAGUUGCGCGUCUACAGUUCUGCUCUCACGCAAGCUAGUGACAAGAUUCUAAUGACUGAAAUUCUUGUUGAAAUUCUCAGGACUUGUAUCACUUAAGAAACCUUAAUAAUUAGAAGUUUUUUGUAAUGAUUUUGGACUAAAUUUAUGAAUAUAGUUCAAUGUAAUCGAGAUGUCAUUUGGUAUUUUAGACGAAUCAGGUUCCAUAUAGAAUUUGAAUUUGAAUUUGAGAACU
Long non-coding RNA from Papaver somniferum (opium poppy), 3277 nucleotides. RefSeq lists it as uncharacterized. Lineage: Eukaryota; Viridiplantae; Streptophyta; Magnoliopsida; Ranunculales; Papaveraceae. The record is from RefSeq and is a predicted model, not a curated record. The transcript is spliced from 9 exons.